RNAcentral lists this ribosomal RNA (1046 nucleotides) under Leptobacillium sp. RNAcentral's name for it is "SSU rRNA". It matches the Rfam family "Eukaryotic small subunit ribosomal RNA", at positions 62 to 1120 of the family's 1831-position model. Lineage: Eukaryota; Fungi; Ascomycota; Sordariomycetes; Hypocreales; Cordycipitaceae. The record is from RNAcentral.
AGUAUAAGCAAUUAUACAGCGAAACUGCGAAUGGCUCAUUAUAUAAGUUAUCGUUUAUUUGAUAGUACUUUACUACUUGGAUAACCGUGGUAAUUCUAGAGCUAAUACAUGCUAAAAAUCCCGACUUCGGAAGGGAUGUAUUUAUUAGAUUAAAAACCAAUGCCCUUUGGGCUCCUUGGUGAAUCAUGAUAACUUCUCGAAUCGCAUGGCCUUGCGCCGGCGAUGGUUCAUUCAAAUUUCUUCCCUAUCAACUUUCGAUGUUUGGGUAUUGGCCAAACAUGGUCGCAACGGGUAACGGAGGGUUAGGGCUCGACCCCGGAGAAGGAGCCUGAGAAACGGCUACUACAUCCAAGGAAGGCAGCAGGCGCGCAAAUUACCCAAUCCCGACUCGGGGAGGUAGUGACAAUAAAUACUGAUACGAGGCUCUUUUGGGCCUUGUAAUUGGAAUGAGUACAAUUUAAAUCUCUUAACGAGGAACAAUUGGAGGGCAAGUCUGGUGCCAGCAGCCGCGGUAAUUCCAGCUCCAAUAGCGUAUAUUAAAGUUGUUGUGGUUAAAAAGCUCGUAGUUGAACCUUGGGCCUGGCUGGCCGGUCCGCCUCACCGCGUGUACUGGUCCGGCCGGGCCUUUCCCUCUGUGGAACCUCAUGCCCUUCACUGGGUGUGACGGGGAAGCAGGACUUUUACUGUGAAAAAAUUAGAGUGCUCCAAGCAGGCCUAUGCUCGAAUACAUUAGCAUGGAAUAAUGAAAUAGGACGUGCGGUUCUAUUUUGUUGGUUUCUAGGACCGCCGUAAUGAUUAAUAGGGACAGUCGGGGGCAUCAGUAUUCAAUUGUCAGAGGUGAAAUUCUUGGAUUUAUUGAAGACUAACUACUGCGAAAGCAUUUGCCAAGGAUGUUUUCAUUAAUCAGGAACGAAAGUUAGGGGAUCGAAGACGAUCAGAUACCGUCGUAGUCUUAACCAUAAACUAUGCCGACUAGGGAUCGGACGAUGUUAUUUUUUGACUCGUUCGGCACCUUACGAGAAAUCAAAGUGUUUGGGCUCCAGGGG